ACCUCAGGAGCGUUCGUCUGGAC
Molecule: non-coding RNA, 23 nt
Filed under: Arabidopsis thaliana (thale cress)
Lineage: Eukaryota; Viridiplantae; Streptophyta; Magnoliopsida; Brassicales; Brassicaceae
Source: RNAcentral